GAUGAACGCUAGCGGCAGGCUUAACACAUGCAAGUCGAGGGGUAUAGGUUUUCGGACCUAGAGACCGGCGCACGGGUGCGUAACGCGUAUGCAAUCUACCUUUUACAGAGGGAUAGCCCAGAGAAAUUUGGAUUAAUACCUCAUAGUAUUAUUGAAUGGCAUCAUUUAAUAAUUAAAGUUCCAACGGUAAAGAUGAGCAUGCGUCCCAUUAGCUAGAUGGUAAGGUAACGGCUUACCAUGGCAACGAUGGGUAGGGGUCCUGAGAGGGAGAUCCCCCACACUGGUACUGAGACACGGACCAGACUCCUACGGGUGGCUG
This 319-nucleotide ribosomal RNA is filed under the name uncultured Bacteroidota bacterium. RNAcentral describes it as "bacterial SSU rRNA". It matches the Rfam family "Bacterial small subunit ribosomal RNA", at positions 28 to 351 of the family's 1533-position model. Lineage: Bacteria; Pseudomonadati; Bacteroidota. The record is from RNAcentral.